This 328-nucleotide ribosomal RNA is filed under the name uncultured eukaryote. RNAcentral describes it as "partial 18S ribosomal RNA". It matches the Rfam family "Eukaryotic small subunit ribosomal RNA", at positions 1470 to 1796 of the family's 1831-position model. The record is from RNAcentral.
CCCUUAGAUGUCCUGGGCCGCACGCGCGUUACACUGAUGCAUUCAACGAGCUUAUAACCUUGGCCGAGAGGCCUGGGCAAUCUUGUUAACGUGCAUCGUGAUAGGGAUAGAUUAUUGAAAUUAUUAAUCUUGAACGAGGAAUUCCUAGUAAACGCAGAUCAUCAAUCUGCAUUGAUUACGUCCCUGCCCUUUGUACACACCGCCCGUCGCACCUACCGAUUGGAUGGUCCGGUGAAGCCUCGGGAUUGUGGUUCUUGCCGCUUUAUUGUGGCGUGACCGCGAGAACUUGUCUAAACCUUAUCAUCUAGAGGAAGGAGAAGUCGUAACA